This 88-nucleotide transfer RNA is filed under the name Actinosynnema sp. ALI-1.44. Its description in RNAcentral is "tRNA-Ser". It matches the Rfam family "tRNA". From Rfam's summary of the family: Transfer RNA (tRNA) molecules are approximately 80 nucleotides in length. Their secondary structure includes four short double-helical elements and three loops (D, anti-codon, and T loops). Lineage: Bacteria; Bacillati; Actinomycetota; Actinomycetes; Pseudonocardiales; Pseudonocardiaceae. The record is from RNAcentral. RNAcentral also lists the same sequence under 1 other name.
GGAGGGCUGGCCGAGUCAGGCAAGGCACCGGUUUGCUACACCGAGGUCCGGGUGACACCCGGCGCGCGUUCGAAUCGCGCGCCCUCCG